GAUGAACGCUGGCGGCGUGCCUAAUACAUGCAAGUCGAGCGAACGGACGAGGAGCUUGCGUCGCUGAUGUUAGCGGAAGGCGGGUGAGAAACACGUGGAUCACCUACCUAUAAGAGUGAGAUAACUUCGGGAAACCGGAGCUAAUGCCGGAGAAUAUUCUGAACCGCAGGGGGCAAAAGAGAAAGACGGUGUUUGUGGAACGUAUAGAUGGAUCCGCGCUGCAUUAGCUAGUUGGUAAGGUAAAGGCUUAUCAAGGGAACGAUGCCUAGACGACGUGAUGGGGGGAUCGGCCACACUAGAAGUGAGACACGGUCCAGACUACUACGAGAGGGAGCAGUAGAGUAUCGGCCGCAGUGGUCGAAAGCCUUACGGAGCGACGCCGCGUGAGUGGUGAAGGUCUUCCGAUCGUAAAACUCUGUUAUUAGUGAAGAACCUAUGUGUAAGUAACUGAGCACAUCUUGACGGUAAUUAGUCAGAAAGCCACGGCUAACUACGUG
This 497-nucleotide ribosomal RNA is filed under the name uncultured bacterium. RNAcentral describes it as "partial 16S ribosomal RNA". It matches the Rfam family "Bacterial small subunit ribosomal RNA", at positions 28 to 507 of the family's 1533-position model. The record is from RNAcentral.